UCCCCGGUAGCUCAGUGGUAGAGCAAGCGGCUGUUAACCGCUUGGUCGCUGGUUCGAAUCCGGCCCGGGGAG
Molecule: non-coding RNA, 72 nt
Organism: Pseudovibrio sp. FO-BEG1
Lineage: Bacteria; Pseudomonadati; Pseudomonadota; Alphaproteobacteria; Hyphomicrobiales; Stappiaceae
Source: Rfam